UACGGAGGGUGCAAACGUUGCUCGGAAUUAUUGGGCGUAAAGAGCUCGUAGGCGGUUUGUCGCGUCGAAUGUGAAAACCCGGGGCUCAACCCCGGGCCUGCAUUCGAUACGGGCAGACUAGAGUUCGGUAGGGGAGUCUGGAAUUCCUGGUGUAGCGGUGAAAUGCGCAGAUAUCAGGAGGAACACCGGUGGCGAAGGCGGGACUCUGGGCCGAUACUGACGCUGAGGAGCGAAAGCGUGGGGAGCAAACAGG
Molecule: ribosomal RNA, 253 nt
Filed under: uncultured bacterium
Lineage: Bacteria
Description: partial 16S ribosomal RNA
Rfam family: Bacterial small subunit ribosomal RNA
Source: RNAcentral